Tachysurus fulvidraco (yellow catfish) is the source of this 929-nucleotide long non-coding RNA. RefSeq lists it as uncharacterized. Lineage: Eukaryota; Metazoa; Chordata; Actinopteri; Siluriformes; Bagridae. The transcript has 2 exons. The record is from RefSeq and is a predicted model, not a curated record.
CGUUUUAUUCAACAAAUUCUCUGGUCACAUGUGAACAAAAGAUUUAGAAUCUGAAUCGAUAUAAAACAAACUGAAUCUCUUAUUUGACAAGUUUCCUUUCCACUAGUACUUAGUAGUGGACAAAAGAUUUGGAAUGAGAAUCUUUUACUUGAUACUUAUUUCCUUGUAAAACGAUCCUGAAUCUGAAUCAUAAAAAAACUUUUAUUUGACAAAUGUCUAAGUACACUUGGUCUUUGUGCACAAAUGAUUCAGAUUCAGAAUCAUUUACUUUAUUAAUGACUUGCUUGGUAAUGAAAUGAUUUAUUAUCAUAAAAUUUUAUUAAACAACAUUCCAAACAAAACGUUUUUAAACGAUUCAGAAUCAGAAUCAACAACUGAAUCUUUUAUUCAGCAACAUCCUUUUACAUGCACUUAGUGAACAAAAGAUUCAAAAGAUUCAGAAUCUUUCACUCGACGAUUCAUUGUAAACCUUUACUUACUAAAUUAAAAAGAAUCAUAAUCUUUUAUUCAGGAAAUUCUUUUCAGCUUGUAAUGGAUGAAUUAAAGAUUCACAUAGAGAUUUUUGUCUGUUUUCGAUCUGCGGUGUCAUUUUCAGUGGCCUUCUCUCUUUAUCAGUGUCUUUGCUUGAUGAAUUAGCACCAGGCGUUGAGAGAAAGUGGAGCUUUGUUUGCUGCAGGUUCACGAGAUGUUUGUUUGCGCUGCUGUACGUGUCAGUGUGGGAACGCUGUUCUCUACGGUCGCCAUGAGAACUCGUCCGUUUCGGCUUUCCCGCUACACGCUCCCUGGACGCAGGAGUCGCAAGGAUUCCCAAACCUACCCGGGGUCCCGAGCUGGAAAAUUCCCAGCAGGCUUGCUGCUUCAGCGUGGGAAUCGAGGGCAGGGAUGAGAGGAUGUAGGAGAUAUGUGAGAGUGUCCUCUGUCUCUGAUGG